RNAcentral lists this ribosomal RNA (443 nucleotides) under uncultured bacterium. Its description in RNAcentral is "partial 16S ribosomal RNA". It matches the Rfam family "Bacterial small subunit ribosomal RNA", at positions 338 to 795 of the family's 1533-position model. The record is from RNAcentral.
CCUACGGGUGGCAGCAGUGGGGAAUAUUGGGCAAUGGGCGCAAGCCUGACCCAGCAACGCCGCGUGAAGGAAGAAGGCCCUCGGGUUGUAAACUUCUUUUAUCAGGGACGAAACAAAUGACGGUACCUGAUGAAUAAGCCACGGCUAACUACGUGCCAGCAGCCGCGGUAAUACGUAGGUGGCAAGCGUUAUCCGGAUUUAUUGGGUGGAAAGGGCGUGUAGGCGGGAAAGCAAGUCAGAUGUGAAAACUCAGGGCUCAACCCUGAGCCUGCAUUUGAAACUGUUUUUCUUGAGUGCUGGAGAGGCAAUCGGAAUUCCGGGUGUAGCGGUGAAAUGCGUAGAUAUACGGAGGAACACCAGUGGCGAAGGCGGAUUGCUGGACAGUAACUGACGCUGAGGCGCGAAAGCGUGGGGAGCAAACAGGAUUAGAUACCCCUGUAGUC